AAAGUUGGUGCUUAUCUCAUUAGAUAUCACACCACCAUGUCACUUUUAGUCCGACCUUCUGCGCAGAAUGGAAAUCCGAACUGGCUAAUUCCGGAGAUUUAUUCACCAAGUCACACCACCUCUACAGUUUGACUACAACAAAAAAAAAAUACAGACACCACCUGAAUUCAAGGCUCAUACAUUUUAAUGCUACAAGUGAUUCAGCAAAUACAUUUGAAAUACCAAUAUACAUCUUGAAAAUUUUUCUCAUUUUUACAUAUCCAUUCAGUGGACUUACAACUGAAAAACACCGCCAUCCCACCUCAAAGAAACUGAGGUCACUGAAAGAGAUAAGGGAUCGUGCUAAGCCGUCUACAAAAUCAUGUUUUCGGACAGCACCUACGAUUGUAUAUCCUCUGUAUAAUCAUGAAAUUAGAAUUACACAAUACUGCAUUAUGAAUGAAUGUAAUAAUCAUCUAUAUAGCUUGAGUAUAUAAAGUCCAUGCAUCGUCUUGUUUUUAACACAGUAAGCAGGACAAACCUAAGUUUCAAAUAAAAUAACGAAAUAAAAUCAAAACUAAAAUAUAGGAAAGAAAAACAUGUUUUGUCAGAUUGCAAGAAGCCAAAAUGAACAAAACACGUUAAUACAUAAUGUGCAGACGUGCGUGAUGGAACCCGACAAUGGGGAGCAAUAUUCAGCUUCAUUAACCAUACAUGUAACUGAUGUAUGUUUAAUCAAACUUGACACAAAUAUAUUAUAAAUCCUUCAAUGUAUUUAUCAGCAUCCAUCCGAGGUCCCACAAUCAUGAAUUUGAAAUACACAGCUGCAAAGCACAUUCCACUUUGUAUAAAAUCAUGCUUAAGAGCUGAAUACCUAAUAAACGAGGAAGAAGUCAUUUGGAGUUUCAGAACUAAUUUAAAUGCAUCUGAGUUCUCAAAUAAUGUUAACGAUGAGAGAAUCUGACCUCCAGCACACAUAUGUGAAGUAGAUCACAUACAUAGAGAGGCCGACCUGCAAUGUGCUGUGCAAGAAAAGCUACUAUUCGGGGUUAUUUUUUUUCCUCUUGAAACAACAAGUGCCAAAAAAAAAGGUUUAAGGCACCUCACAAUACAUGUAAGUCAGAGACGUGUAUUUGCCAGGGAAGUUGGCAAACGUCUUUCCAUUGGUCUUCAUCACGUUUCAUCAUAGACAAUCAAACAGGGUUGCAGGAAAGAUGCAGUGAAGUCUUUUUUGCAGGAAUACCACUAUCAUUGUACAGCUUUCCUGCAUCCCUGGGCCCCGUCUUACAAAAAGUUGUGAUUGAUCCAAUCAAUUGAAACUACGGAAAGCCAGCUAGGUCAACAUAUAAAAUGCAUGUUUGUUUUAAAAAAAAUCUAGAUAUGAAUGUAUAUCCAUAAAUUCAUUAAUUUCUUGACAAUCGUGUGUUGUCCUUCAUUUACAAAGGACAUUUUGCAAACAUCCUGUAGAAAAUAUUAUGACUCUAAUGGAUUUCCACAGAGUUAUGAUUGAUUUGAUCAAGUCUUUGUAAGACGGGCCCGUUGUCUUGUCUAUCUAUAAUAGAGAAUAGAGAUCAACAAUGAAAACACGCUUGGGAGAUUCCUCCAUUAAAGACAUGACUAUGACACAAUUUGUUAGGUGCCUAUCAAAGCAAAUUUCUGUUGAGUUAUUUUGUCUCCCAGUAAUAAUAUUUAAAAAAAAACACAUAGCACUGAAUACAAUGUUUAUAACUGCUGAUAUUACUACCCUGCAAAUAAGCCAGUUCAUAGAGACACUGCGAGCAUGUGCUGGUAAACAUCAUUAUAACUCAAAUAAAAAAUCAAUUGAAACUCUAUAGGGAUUGCCUGAAAUGGUAACACUUGAUUCAUACAAAUUAAAUUCCUUUUGCAAUGGAGAACAUACAUUCCCCACUCCCUGGGGGUGUAUGCUACAUACGAUGAUUAUGAAUGUUCUUCAAGCAAUGGGAUCAGACACCCCCCGACCCCACACCCUUCUGCAGCGGAGAACAUGACAACAUUCCCCACUCCCUGGGGACUAUUCUUAUCACAAAAAGCAUGACAAUGGAUCUAAUUCUCCCUUCCAAUGGAGAACAUGAUAACAUUCACCUCUCCCCAUGGUGUAUUCUAAGGAUUCUGAUUGCUCCUCAAACCAUGGGCUUAGAUAAGUGUGACAAAGCCUUAAAUACUACCCAUGAAGAGGAGAAUACAACAUUCCCCACUCCCUGGUGAGUAUUCCUGGGAUUAUGACAAUUCUUCAAAAUCAUGGACCCAGAAAAAACAUGGCGAUCACUGAUAACAUCCCCGUGCAAUGUAGAUCAUUAUUGAUUCUCUACCUUUUGUAUUAAGCUUUGUACAAAAAAAUAAUAGUUAAAUUUUACAUCUAGAGCACUACAUAAAUAUUCAUAUCAUACAUAUUGUUUUCUCGUAUAAAAAUUUGACACACAACAGCAUUAUUUGGUCAUGUUUUCCACUUCAAAAACAUCUGUUCCAAAACAUAGAAAUAUCUAUAGACUGUAAGACAAACAAAAAGAAAAUAAACACAUGCAUAAACUACACUCCUUCUACUACAUCAUACAGGCGUUUGUUAAUGAUAAUGAAAAUUUAAAUAACUAUGUUAAGCAUAGAAUAAUCAAAAUUCUUGUGUACAACAGAAUUCCACCCACAUCUGCCCAUAGCAAUGUUGAUACUCAAUCUGAUUGCACAUAUGCAUGGUAAAAUUGAAGAACACACAAACAACGGCCUCAGAAUCCUACAUUAAUAACGACAGCAUAUUUAAUAUCAAUUCUCGUUUAUAUAUCAUUUUGUUUAUUUUCUUUACUGUACUCCAAUUUCCACUUCUAUGUACCGGUAUCUUCAUUUGCUUUGUAUAUUCCUUUUAUGCGAGAAUCAUUUCCAACAAGCCAUUCAUCUGCUUUUUAUGAUCCUCCCUCCAAAGGUAUUUAUAGUAACAGUUUCGUAUGCAUAAUUAUAUGUUUGUAUUAAAUGGGUUUAUCUUGAAGUGAUGUUUUCUUUGGUCUGAAGUUUUCGACAUACGAUAAACCCUUUAUGAGCUACAUUCAAAUGAUGAAUAUAACUUAUAAGUUUUCCCAUAUUACACCUGUUCUGAUUCAAUUACAUUGGUUGCCAAUAAGGCAGAGAAUUGCAUUUAAGAUACUUUUGCUUGUUUACAAAGCACUGAAUGGUCAAUAUGGUUAAUAUCAUUUAGGUCACAUUCAUAUGCACAUAACUUACGAAGUACACAGGAUAAGCUGCUUCUAAAGCUACCUCACUUGAGAACAAAAGUAACUCUUGGGGAUCGUGCUUUCAGUUGUGCUGCUCCAAAGCUUUGGAACAAAUUACCCCUGGAAAUACGAAAAGCACCAACUGUUACCAUCUUCAAACAUUUAUUGAAGACCCAUCUUUUUUCAGAAGUUUUUGGUUAAUUGUAUUAUAUGCAUAAUUGUUUAAUUUGUUUGAGCAGUAGCAUUGUUGGGAGCUCUGUUACACUACAGCGCAGUAGAGUAUAUUUACAUAGUGACUGCGCUAUAUAAAUGGUCUAAUUAUUAUUAUUAUUAUUAUAAUUCACUUUCCAACAAAUCAUGCUUUGUGGAGCAUUAAGGCUCAAUGGAUCAGUCUUCUGACUUUAAAAACAGAGAAUCAGGGGUUCAAAUCCCAGCCAUGGCGAGAAUUUUUUUUCAGCAAGAAAUUGAUCCUCAGUGUGCCGCAAUCAACCCAGGUGAGGUUAAUGGGUACCUGGCUGGAAUUUAUUUCUUGCAAUAAUGCGCUGUAAACGGUGUCGGGGCCAAAGCCAAAUUAAUAAUAUCCAGUCCUUACAUCCUGAAAAGUAUGGUUUUGAAACACGGUGUCCCAUGAUGUUAAACAUUUAUAAACUUUCUUACACUCUAACUUGUUUAUGGCUCUUAAGAUUUCCUUUCCCUAACGGAUUCAAGGACUUUCUCUACAGGACUACAAACUAUCACAUAAAUUGGGAUAUUAUUAAAGGGUUAAAAGCAGAGAAUUAACACUCCUUUUCCUGUGUGAAGGGAAGGAAUGUCUCAGGAAAACCAGAAAUUAGUUUUUUUUUAAAUGUAGACACUGUUAAUAAGUUUCAAUCACAUACUUAAUGGAUUGACCAAAAUGUUAAGCCUUUGAAGAUGUCUGAUCUUACCAAAAUCCAUUGAAAAAACAGAUUGGGUCCAUUUGCAUGACAGAUACAUAUAUACUAAAUCAUAAAGGUAAGAAGACAGGUAAGACAAAUAUACAUCAAAGUCUCCAAACAUAAUAAUAC
RNAcentral lists this long non-coding RNA (4243 nucleotides) under Lytechinus variegatus (green sea urchin). RNAcentral describes it as "uncharacterized LOC121431075". Lineage: Eukaryota; Metazoa; Echinodermata; Echinoidea; Temnopleuroida; Toxopneustidae. The record is from RNAcentral.